GUCCCGUUUACCUUGCAUCGUGCACAGAGAAGUGGGUGAAGAUACAUGUAGGAUGAGAGUAAACUAAAAAUACCAUGGUGACAGGAAAAUUUAUACAAAACAAGUUAAGGAAUCAGAAAGUAAUUUUAGAAUCAUUAAGCUUGCAGUGACUGUGCAGUCUUGAAAUGUGAUUUUUUGUUAUACCAGAGUUCAAGUUCUUUUACUGCGCACAAGCAUGUUUUGUGGGGCUUUCUUGACAGCUCAGAUGAAUGGCAUGGCAACUUUGCCAUAAAAAAGUGGGGUUCAGUAGAUCUACCCCAGCAGUGAAAGGAUGCAAUGUAACUACAGAACAUAUGUCUUGAAAAGGCAUCAGUAUUUACUUUUAGCAGCUGAUGUUUCUUCCUGAUGCUUGUCUGUAUCACUAACCUCUUGGCUGUUUACAAGCAGUUCAGAAUUUGGAAGGCAGGUGGCUACUUACAUAAAACCCUGAACUAGUGUUUAAGUACUUAACUCUCCUUGAAUUCUCUCUCUCAAAAUUACAGGGUUUCCAGAUCUGGUGUCUAGUUUGUCUAGAAGAAGGAGUUUGCCUGAGGAUCUUCUCUUCUGGAGAAAGUGGUUUGGAGAAGAUGGAAAGGAAUAUUAGUUGACUGAGUUGUCAGCAGAGCACAGCAAAUGACAGGAGCUUGGCUAACUGUGGAUGCAUGGACAGGACCGGCUGACAAGAGAAGGGAGGAGUGCAUCAGAGCAGUGCAUUGGACUCUCUGUCACAGGAGGAAAUGGAGAGAAGUUCUUCAUAAUUUUUGAGUUAGGCUGGAAACAGAGUAAGCCAAAAUUCUGGUUUUCUACUUCUGGACAAUUAAAGAAGAACAGCCACUAUAGGUCUGUCUGUCUACACUCGUGUUGCAAGGGCACACUGCUCACUCCUGCUCAGAUUGCCCACCAGCUCCUUCUACAGAACUGCUCCCUAGCCAGCUGCAUCUGCUGUUGUUGCAGAACACAAGUGCAAAACUCGGCUUGUUUCUUCAUUGAUCUCCCUGAGCUUCUUUUUGGCCCUCCUCCUAGCCCACAGUUUGGAUAAUACAAUGCUAUGGGAUACUGCAUAGGAAGUCAAUAUAAAUUACAUCAGUAUAUCUCCAACUGUACACAGUGCUGCCAUUUCAUCACAAGAAGUAAUCAGGCCAGUAAAGAACAGGUUUCCACACAUAAAUCUACAUUCCCAUAUUUUUCCAUAUUCUUCUACUUAUCUUCUUGAAGAUGUGUUUAACAUCUGGGUGUUUUUUUGUCUUUUAUUUUAUUUUAUUUUAUUUUAUUUUAUUUUCCUGGUCAUUGCUCAUUUUUCAAUCCUCUCACUUUGAAAAUAUACCAAUUUCCAUUGGCUUUAGAAGAAUUUAAAAUGUAUCUUGGUACAUUUCAUUUGAAUUCCUAUUUCUGUCAAAAUGUAUAGUGACCCAAAUUUAGUGUAAAAAGCCUGAAUGUAAUAAGAAAAGGCAAUAAUAAAGAACACACAAAUGUAAUAAAUGUAGAUGAU
This 1507-nucleotide long non-coding RNA is filed under the name Anas platyrhynchos platyrhynchos (common mallard). RNAcentral's name for it is "lncRNA (ENSAPLG00000030769.1)". Lineage: Eukaryota; Metazoa; Chordata; Aves; Anseriformes; Anatidae. The record is from RNAcentral.